AACUACAGUCAGCUCAGCCACUAAACUCUGUGUUAAGUCGAGCUAAUUUUCUCCAGGUUAAAGCUUCAUAUUUUCUGUGCAGACAUGAGAGUGAUGAUCUGAUCAUCUAACCCUCAAAAACAAGUAGUAUAGAAGUGAAAAUGCUGCAGUAUCCGAUUAUUACCUUCCAUCUGCAAACAGUGUGUAGCCCCCUGCAUGCCGCUUACCUUCUCUCUGAGCAGCUCCAGUUUUCCUCAUCGGUGAAAUUGAUAAUCAGAAUGUCCAGAAAAAUGAGUUUGUCUUAAAUCUACUGAAGACUAGCUUUGUCCAGCCAAGAGAACCCCCACCCCGCCCCCAUCAUCAGUAUGCCUUCACUGACUGCUGUCCAGCUGGAAAUACAGAAUACUUGAUUUAUAAAAAUGUGCCUCUUGAGGGCAUUUGAAUUUUUCAGUACACUUUAGUGUAUUUAACGAUGCUUCAGAGUGAGGAACUGUGGUGUGGCACGAGAAAAAAAAUAGUUCUUACCUCUCUCCCUCCCUCAUUCUCUCGUACUUGAUUUCCUUUAGGCCUCGCUGUAUUUUCCCACACGGUCCUGAAUCCUAACUGUGGAUCUCUGAAGGCUCUGAUCCUCCAGUCAGAUCCUUUAGCGUCGCAGUUAAUUCAGUCCUGAGAAUACAAAUAAACAAAAGGCCUUACUUCUCGAUCACUGUACAAAGAUGUGAUAGCUGUGUAUGAAAAUGACAUGUAUUACUUGUAAGUUAAGCUUUUUUUUUAUCUGACAUUAAAAAAAAACACAGCAUGGAAUAAUUAAAAAAAAACUCAUUUAUAUAUAGUUAAUAGUUUGUGUAGACUGACAAGAAAAACAAUAUGAUAUGAAAAUCGUUUGUACACAAUGAUGGAGUCAUUGUUAAUGGUAAUAGUUGCUGUUGCUAUGGCAACAAAAUGACAACAUGGCUACCUUUCUAUUAUCCUGAUAGUGAAUUUUUUCACAUUAAUUAAAAUAACAUACAACACUAACUUAUUCAAAAAGGGAAUGUCUAAUUAGUUUGUCUUGUUAUUGCAGCGUGAUUAAAUAUUUUAUAUGGAAAACUUAAAUCCUUGUAAUAUCCAAAGGUCCUUAGGGGAGGUCAGGUGUUUAUUUUGUUUUGUUUAUUUGACCUUAGUUGUCGUUUUUUUUUCUUCUGUUUUGUUUUGUUUUUUUCUUGUACAUGGUGUUUUUGAGAAAUAAGAAUGGACUUUGGCUUUUAAAGCAAACACCUUUCUGUCAGGGAGGUAAAGAGGCUUUUGGACUGACUGAAAGAUCUUUUUCUGUAAAGUCAAACUCGUCUGCAGACCGGACAGCCCGGCUCAGAGCCUUCAUGGGUGAGUUCUGUUUCAGUUUAGGCCCAGAAGGCGGUCCAGAAGCCUCUUCCUGCCCAGCUGUGCUGGGUGAUGUCGAUCCUUGUGGAGGUGUAUACGAAUGUGUGACGUUCACCUUGUUUGCACUUAUGUACAUAACUAUGUCAGAAAUACUCAAAAUUUAUUUUGAAUAAAUACAGAGAAAAGAGCUGAUUAAAAAAUCAAAUCAAUGUAUUGUUAAUGAUAUGUCUAUUGUUUUAUUACAGUGUGAGAUGAUUACUUCUGGGGAUCUGUCCUUUUGUUUGUUUGUUUGUUUGUUUGCUAGAGCCCUGUUCCCUGCCAAGCAUGGCGCCGCCCAGCUGUAAACUACAAAUGAUUUGCUUCAAAAAGCUUUUUUCACUUCAGUUACUGGAUCAGCUUUGGUUCAGUAACAUGUGACCCUGAGAUCAAAGAGGAGAGAUGGAUUAGAAGAAAGAGUUCUAACUUUGUUUGUAAAAGCUCAGCAUGAAUCCACAGCAGCAGCAGACACUUUCCUCUCUCCAGUAAAGCACCAGAAUAAAGCACAGAGAAGCUCCACCUGCAGGCUGAAAAACAGCCAGAAAAUACCAGGAGCAGAUAUAAAAUCAGACCACAGAGGAACAUGGAUGUGUUCACAGGGUUUUAAAUUCACUUUCAUUUCUGUCAUUUUGUGAUUUUAGUUGUUCUAAUUACUUGCUCCCUUAUUGUCAUUAUCCAAAACAACAAUAAAUCUGAAUUCUCCUCAGGAUUUUAGUCAAACAACCUGGUUUUCCAAUGUUACUCUUGCAGCAGCAGCAGCAUCCUUACGCAACUCUGUUCCUGCAGAUUUGGACAUGUGAUGCUUUUCAAUUGCUCUUAAAGCCAGCGAUUUUGUUGCCAUGGCACUUGUCCUAGCGGUGGAUUGACUGAGUCAUCCUGGUGAAUCGGUUCACAGCCCUCUGACUGUUGAAUAUGAACUUCAAAGCGUCCCUGUGCAGAGACGGGUCUGUGAACGACGUGUACCCAAAACUCACCAAAGCUUCUUCGCUAUGACUCACCAGCUCCCGUCAUCACUGCGUACAGAGAAGUACAUGUGGGUGUCCAGUCGCCAAACCACUACAUCAGAUUGUGAUUCAAAAUUGAUGUGUUGCUACCGUUAUUUUCAGCUGUAGUUGUGCCUUUAUUGUGCAAAAUGUACUUUAUGUUCUACAUUUAAUUGACUAAAAACAGCACAUGUACCGAGCGUGUGUAAAACUUAUCCCUUUAUUUAAAAUCCUUUGUCGGUGAGUCUUUAAAUUGUUUUUGUUUUUUUUUUUUUAAAUUGGGUACAAUCACAGACUGAAUGGCAACCGGUGGAAGACGAUGAGGGCCAAAGACUGUUCAGGACUAAGCCAUAUGAAAACUCUCUCGGACACUCUAGGACAGACUUGAACGUGACUGCUGUUUCUUAGUCACCUUUUGUUUCACUCUGUUUUCUGCUUGUGGUGCUUGUAUGUGCUGCUGUGCUACAUGCCAAUUUACUUUGCAGUGUAUAGCUAUUAAGAGUAAGUUACUGUGCCUAUGAUGAGUUCUGCGAUUUCUGUUUGACCUUAAAUAAACCACAUCAUUGUGACACUC
Molecule: long non-coding RNA, 2931 nt
Organism: Amphiprion ocellaris (clown anemonefish)
Lineage: Eukaryota; Metazoa; Chordata; Actinopteri; Pomacentridae
Source: Ensembl